Molecule: long non-coding RNA, 271 nt
Organism: Puntigrus tetrazona (Sumatra barb)
Lineage: Eukaryota; Metazoa; Chordata; Actinopteri; Cypriniformes; Cyprinidae
Exons: 3
Source: RefSeq, a predicted model, not a curated record
AAAACGUUUCCAAUAUGUAGAAUUUGGACUGCAAUGCCAAGUUCAAGCACUCGGUGUGAAUCCUACAAAUAGCACCUAAAAGGUCAGGAGCUGUCAGAUUUGAAAAGUUGAGCGGGGGAAAGCUGUCUAGUAUGCUCUUUUCAAGAGUUUACGCACAAACGCAUGCAUACGAUUAGACCGUGAAAGAGAACCAGUGUGAUGUCUGCAGGUCACAGUGAUAGAUGCAGUACCUCGAGUUCCCAGCAAAGUACCGCCACAUGAAUAAAUGAUA